ACGCUAGCGGCAGGCCUAACACAUGCAAGUCGAGGGAGAAGCCCUUCGGGGCAGAAACCGGCGCACGGGUGCGUAACGCGUAUGCAACCUACCUUUCACAGGGGGAUAGCCCGAAGAAAUUUGGAUUGAUACCCCAUAAUAUUAUUGGAUGGCAUCAUUUGAUAAUUAAAAUUACGAUGGUGAAAGAUGGGCAUGCGUCCUAUUAGCUAGUUGGAGUGGUAACGGCACCCCAAGGCUACGAUAGGUAGGGGUCCUGAGAGGGAGAUCCCCCACACUGGUACUGAGACAGGGACCAGACUCCUACGGGAGGCAGCAGUGAGGAAUAUUGGUCAAUGGUCGGAAGACUGAACCAGCCAUGCCGCGUGCAGGAAGAAUGCCUUAUGGGUUGUAAACUGCUUUUAUAUGGGAAGAAUAAGGAGUACGUGUACUUUGAUGACGGUACCAUAUGAAUAAGCAUCGGCUAACUCCGUGCCAGCAGCCGCGGUAAUACGGAGGAUGCGAGCGUUAUUCGGAAUCAUUGGGUUUAAAGGGUCUGUAGGCGGGCUAUUAAGUCAGGGGUGAAAGGUUUCAGCUUAACUGAGAAAUUGCCUUUGAUACUGGUAGUCUUGAAUAUCUGUGAAGUUCUUGGAAUGUGUAGUGUAGCGGUGAAAUGCUUAGAUAUUACACAGAACACCGAUUGCGGAGGCAGGGGACUAACAGACGAUUGGCGCUGAGAGACGAAAGCGUGGGGAGCGAACAGGAUUAGAUACCCUGGUAGUCCACGCUGUAAACGAUGGAUACUAGCUGUUUGGAGUAAUUUGAGUGGCUAAGCGAAAGUGAUAAGUAUCCCACCUGGGGAGUACGCACGCAAGUGUGAAACUCAAAGGAAUUGACGGGGGCCCGCACAAGCGGUGGAGCAUGUGGUUUAAUUCGAUGAU
RNAcentral lists this ribosomal RNA (917 nucleotides) under uncultured bacterium. RNAcentral's name for it is "bacterial SSU rRNA". It matches the Rfam family "Bacterial small subunit ribosomal RNA", at positions 33 to 958 of the family's 1533-position model. The record is from RNAcentral.